This is a long non-coding RNA of Triticum aestivum (bread wheat), 2229 nucleotides long. RefSeq lists it as uncharacterized. The record is from RefSeq and is a predicted model, not a curated record. The transcript is spliced from 3 exons. Lineage: Eukaryota; Viridiplantae; Streptophyta; Magnoliopsida; Poales; Poaceae.
AUUAUCAGUUCACAACAACAAAUAUCUAAUAAACCUUAUGUUUAAAUUCGUUAUGUGAUCAUAAAGAGUUUCAGUGAAUAAAUUGGGCUCUAAAUGAUUCAUACAACACUUUGUUCUUCGCAGUGUAAUGACUAAUGACACCAUACUACAGUGAGGAAACUGUAAUUCAAGAAAUGACCUUGAUCUGGAGAAUCAGGAUUGUGUAUCAGUUAUAUUCUACCGGCAGAAGAUCUUUCUAGGUUCUUUUCCCGUUUGUUCUUCAACUUUUUUGAUCCUAAUUUAUGAUGUUCACCGAGGAUUAUAGAUAACUUUGCUCAGUCGUGGAUCAUGGUACCUUUACCUGUUGUCGACAUUUCCUCUUUCAGAUUUGAUGUUAGCUUGUACAAGCUGCUGGGUUGUGCUUAGAUGUUAUGGUUUCUCUGCUAUUUAGAAAGUACACUUAACACUCAUAAAGUACACUGAUCCUAACUUGAAAUAUUUAAUCCGGCAGGUUUAAAGUUUGUUGUAGGAAGGGCACACAAGUUUGAUGUUUGCAGUUCCAGAUUUUUGCCAAAGGCCGCUGAAACGAAGUUUAGUUCAGCAGACCAUAUAUGUUGGAAAAAAGCAAAUUUCUUGCCUUCCGAAUCCUCCGAAGCAUCAUAUUUUAUUUCAGGCCGAUUUGUCCCAGCUCAGUGUAUCUCUGGUAAAAUACGAACAUCAUUGUUUUUACUUUUUUAGGGGAUGCCACAAAAGGAAAAAUGACCAAGACUGCAUCUGUCAUGUUUUUUUGCUAGAUUGUUAAUUUCAAUUCAUGUUUGAUAUUGCAGUAUGGAGGUUUUGCCAAAUACAUGUUCUAUUGUCGUUUAUUUUCCACUAUUGUUGGGCCUCGUUUCUUUAUUUGCAUCCUCGGAUGUGUAAUGUUAUAUUGGUCAUGAUCCAGACAUUUCCAUCGACCAAUUAUAUAUUGUUAGCUUAUUGUAUUGCUGAAAUUACACUAGCCUAUGUAUUAUGGAGGAACCGUGCUAAACUGCUAAUGUAGCUGCAACAGCUUGAUAUAUGUUCUGCUACCAUAGAUGUCACUUCCUUCCUAAGUAUGUGUAUAGUUCUCAUCAAUAGAUGUUUUCUUUGCUGCCUGCUGUUUUCCGUAGUCUUAAGAAUGAUAUUUACCUGACUAAAAAGCCAAUAGCUCAUAAUAUUGAUAAUUCCAGUCGCUUGGUUGAUUAUCAUUGUACAAUAUAAUUCAGAGAAUACUAUUGUGUUUGUUUAUUCAGAGAAAACGCUUGAUAGGUGGGGAUUCGGAAGAAGCAACUGAUAGAUAGGGCGAGCCUUGUUGUGGGUCUCAGUUUUCCGUUUUUUGGGUUUGCACGUGAACCCUGCAUCUCGUAGUUCCUGUUUAAGUCCCAUGUUUGUGUACAUCCAAUUUAUAUUAGGGGUCCAUUGCAUUGUGUAAUACUGUUCGCUUUACACUUCUUUCUGAAUUGGUAUACCUGUUAAUGUGAGUCCCUCUUGUGCUAUUUUGCCGUUGAUUUGGUCUUACCUGGAAUUGUUUGACUCUUAGAUUUUUUCACCGUUUGAUCUCCUAUUUUUUUAUGGGGUUUCUUCCCUUCGAUUCUGCCUCUAUUUUGGAUUUUUCCUUUCUCUAUUUUGGAUGCUUCCUUGGUGUUCUUUUCUUGGAUUUAGUUUCCCCUCUUCCUCUUGAGUUAAAAAUCAUGCAUACAUCGUAACAAAAAAAAGAGUUGCAGGCUUUUGGAAUUUAAAUAGUAACGAUGAAAAGAUGGUGUGAUGUAUUUGGAACCGUGGCAGGUGGAAUUUUGCUUCGGUGGUGUGAAUCUAGCUACAACUGACCAUCUGUUGAAGUUUAAUACUAAAGAUUCAGAUGGAUUUGUUAGAGGCAUGCUGUAUUAUAGGAAAUCUUUGAAGCUUCAAGCAUUCCUAGACAUGGCUUCUUAAUCUGGUGCCUCCAAGAGAAGUGCACGCACUCAUUUACUCAAGCGCUCUAAUUUCAUAUUAUGCCUCGCCGAUUUUCCUGUCAAGUGCACCCAACUGUCACUGACCCUGCCUUAAUUCCAAUGCUCAUUACUUACAUUUUACAUCUCAUUUACUCUAAAUUUCUUGUUCUUAUUCGGUUACUUUGUACAUAUAAUUGCAGAUCAUUUCAGUGCUCAGAGACUUGCAACUCAGGACACUAUAGUGCUCUGUCUUCAUGUGCACUCUAUUUUGUGCAUGUGCAUUUCAUACCAUAGACAUCGA